UACGUAGGGGGCAAGCGUUGUCCGGAUUUAUUGGGCGUAAAGAGCGUGUAGGCGGCCAUGCAGGUCAGCUGUGAAAACUCGAGGCUCAACCUCGAGACGUCGGUUGAAACCGUAUGGCUAGAGUCCGGAAGAGGAGAGUGGAAUUCCCGGUGUAGCGGUGAAAUGCGCAGAUAUCGGGAAGAACACCCAUGGCGAAGGCAGCUCUCUGGGACGGUACUGACGCUGAGACGCGAAAGCGUGGGGAGCGAACAGG
This 253-nucleotide ribosomal RNA is filed under the name uncultured bacterium. RNAcentral's name for it is "partial 16S ribosomal RNA". It matches the Rfam family "Bacterial small subunit ribosomal RNA", at positions 524 to 776 of the family's 1533-position model. The record is from RNAcentral.